GGUUAACUGGACAGGGUUGAAUAGCCCUGUGAGGGGAGUGCCUUCAGGCCACAUGACAGAAAUGAAAUAGGAGUCAUAAUGGCCACACUGGAGGAGAAUCAGAUUUUUCUCAAGAGGUCCAGUCCUGGUUUGUUUCUUGGAGAUGCCUUGGAUCAUCCUUUCUCCCUUCAUAAAGACAUGUUACACAAAUAAAUGUUGGGAAAUAAUGCAUUAUUCCCCAUCACCUUUCACCUGGA
Molecule: long non-coding RNA, 236 nt
Organism: Pteropus alecto (black flying fox)
Lineage: Eukaryota; Metazoa; Chordata; Mammalia; Chiroptera; Pteropodidae
Exons: 2
Source: RefSeq, a predicted model, not a curated record